This 21-nucleotide non-coding RNA is filed under the name Arabidopsis thaliana (thale cress). The record is from RNAcentral. Lineage: Eukaryota; Viridiplantae; Streptophyta; Magnoliopsida; Brassicales; Brassicaceae.
AUAAGAUGGGGACAAUGAUAA